CCGGAGCCGGCGCGACCAAUAAGGUGCCAGGUCCGCGGCCUCCCCGCCACCGACCAAUCACGAGCGAGCCCCCCCGCCGUCGCCUUCCGCCAAUGGGAGAAAGCCCGCGGGCCGGGCCGACGAGGCACACGGACCCCACGAGCGCGGCGGCGGCGACAGCGGCGGGCCAGGCAAGAGCACAACAUGGCGGCGAGCAGGCCGGACCGAGCUACAGCAGCAGCCGCGCGAGGAAGUGAGCCCUGGUGGAGAAUGUGAAGAUAAGGCCAGAGGGAACAUUGAGAAGAAGGAUCUCAACGAAGAUGGAAAAUUCAACAGAACCUUGGAAAUGCAACUGCUAUCGCCUGGGCCUUUGUUCCUGGAAUGGACUCUGAGAGUGCAUGGAAACAUUCCUUGGUCUACCAAGCCUGAGACCCUGAGAUACUGCUGC
This is a long non-coding RNA of Piliocolobus tephrosceles (Ugandan red Colobus), 427 nucleotides long. RefSeq lists it as uncharacterized. The transcript is spliced from 3 exons. The record is from RefSeq and is a predicted model, not a curated record. NCBI's taxonomy places the organism in Eukaryota, Metazoa, Chordata, Mammalia, Primates, Cercopithecidae.